RNAcentral lists this ribosomal RNA (1235 nucleotides) under Klebsiella pneumoniae. RNAcentral describes it as "bacterial SSU rRNA". It matches the Rfam family "Bacterial small subunit ribosomal RNA", at positions 309 to 1533 of the family's 1533-position model. Lineage: Bacteria; Pseudomonadati; Pseudomonadota; Gammaproteobacteria; Enterobacterales; Enterobacteriaceae. The record is from RNAcentral.
CACACUGGAACUGAGACACGGUCCAGACUCCUACGGGAGGCAGCAGUGGGGAAUAUUGCACAAUGGGCGCAAGCCUGAUGCAGCCAUGCCGCGUGUGAAGAAGGCCUUCGGGUUGUAAAGCACUUUCAGCGGGGAGGAAGGCGAUAAGGUUAAUAACCUUGAUUGACGUUACCCGCAGAAGAAGCACCGGCUAACUCCGUGCCAGCAGCCGCGGUAAUACGGAGGGUGCAAGCGUUAAUCGGAAUUACUGGGCGUAAAGCGCACGCAGGCGGUCUGUCAAGUCGGAUGUGAAAUCCCCGGGCUCAACCUGGGAACUGCAUUCGAAACUGGCAGGCUAGAGUCUUGUAGAGGGGGUAGAAUUCCAGGUGUAGCGGUGAAAUGCGUAGAGAUCUGGAGGAAUACCGGUGGCGAAGGCGGCCCCCUGGACAAAGACUGACGCUCAGGUGCGAAAGCGUGGGGAGCAAACAGGAUUAGAUACCCUGGUAGUCCACGCCGUAAACGAUGUCGAUUUGGAGGUUGUGCCCUUGAGGCGUGGCUUCCGGAGCUAACGCGUUAAAUCGACCGCCUGGGGAGUACGGCCGCAAGGUUAAAACUCAAAUGAAUUGACGGGGGCCCGCACAAGCGGUGGAGCAUGUGGUUUAAUUCGAUGCAACGCGAAGAACCUUACCUGGUCUUGACAUCCACAGAACUUUCCAGAGAUGGAUUGGUGCCUUCGGGAACUGUGAGACAGGUGCUGCAUGGCUGUCGUCAGCUCGUGUUGUGAAAUGUUGGGUUAAGUCCCGCAACGAGCGCAACCCUUAUCCUUUGUUGCCAGCGGUCCGGCCGGGAACUCAAAGGAGACUGCCAGUGAUAAACUGGAGGAAGGUGGGGAUGACGUCAAGUCAUCAUGGCCCUUACGACCAGGGCUACACACGUGCUACAAUGGCAUAUACAAAGAGAAGCGACCUCGCGAGAGCAAGCGGACCUCAUAAAGUAUGUCGUAGUCCGGAUUGGAGUCUGCAACUCGACUCCAUGAAGUCGGAAUCGCUAGUAAUCGUAGAUCAGAAUGCUACGGUGAAUACGUUCCCGGGCCUUGUACACACCGCCCGUCACACCAUGGGAGUGGGUUGCAAAAGAAGUAGGUAGCUUAACCUUCGGGAGGGCGCUUACCACUUUGUGAUUCAUGACUGGGGUGAAGUCGUAACAAGGUAACCGUAGGGGAACCUGCGGUUGGAUCACCUCCUUACCUUAAAGAA